GAGGGUAUCGCUCAGUGGUAGAGUGCAUGCCUAGCAUGUAUCAGGUCCUGAGUUCGAUCCCCAGUACCUCCA
Molecule: transfer RNA, 72 nt
Filed under: Camelus bactrianus (Bactrian camel)
Lineage: Eukaryota; Metazoa; Chordata; Mammalia; Artiodactyla; Camelidae
Also listed under: 2 other names
Rfam family: tRNA
About the family: Transfer RNA (tRNA) molecules are approximately 80 nucleotides in length. Their secondary structure includes four short double-helical elements and three loops (D, anti-codon, and T loops).
Source: Rfam by way of RNAcentral